This 292-nucleotide small nuclear RNA is filed under the name Chinchilla lanigera (long-tailed chinchilla). RNAcentral's name for it is "7SK RNA (ENSCLAG00000022147.1)". It matches the Rfam family "7SK RNA". From Rfam's summary of the family: 7SK was discovered as an abundant small nuclear RNA in the mid-70s but a possible function has only recently been suggested. Two independent studies have found that 7SK RNA binds the CDK9/cyclin T complex (known as elongation factor P-TEFb). The record is from Rfam by way of RNAcentral. Lineage: Eukaryota; Metazoa; Chordata; Mammalia; Rodentia; Chinchillidae.
GGAUGUGAGGGACAUCUGGCUGUGACAUCUGUUGCCCCACUGAUCGCCAGAGUUGAUUCAGCUGAUCUGGCUGGCUAGGCGGGUGUCCCCUUCCUCCCUCAAUGCUCUAUGUGUGUCCUUCCUGAAGCUGCACGCUCAGUCAAAGAGGAUGACCACCCUUGAUAGAGGAGGAUGGUUCUCCUCAAGGGUGUAUGAGUAGCUGCGCUCUCCUGCUAGCACCUCCAAACAAGCUCUCAAGGAAGUUGGUGGUAUAUUCUUUCCUAAGGAAAAAUGCAUCUGUAAUUUUUUCAUU